This 85-nucleotide transfer RNA is filed under the name Streptomyces lavendulae subsp. lavendulae. RNAcentral's name for it is "tRNA-Arg". Lineage: Bacteria; Bacillati; Actinomycetota; Actinomycetes; Kitasatosporales; Streptomycetaceae. The record is from RNAcentral.
GCCGCCGGCGCCCCCGAUGGGGGAGACGGCCGCGCUGCGGGCCCGGCGCAGCAGCUUCGGCCGGUUCGACGCCGGCCGGGCGGUG